CUAGUAUAGCACUUAUACCGUGAAACUGCGAAUGGCUCAUUAAAUCAGUUAUCGUUUAUUUGAUAGUACCUUACUACUUGGAUAACCGUGGUAAUUCUAGAGCUAAUACAUGCUAAAAACCCCGACUUCGGGAGGGGUGUAUUUAUUAGAUAAAAAACCAAUGCCCUUCGGGGCUCUUUGGUGAUUCAUGAUAACUUAACGGAUCGCAUGGCCUUGCGCCGGCGACGGUUCAUUCAAAUUUCUGCCCUAUCAACUUUCGAUGGUAAGGUAUUGGCUUACCAUGGUUUCAACGGGUAACGGGGAAUUAGGGUUCGAUUCCGGAGAGGGAGCCUGAGAAACGGCUACCACAUCCAAGGAAGGCAGCAGGCGCGCAAAUUACCCAAUCCCGACACGGGGAGGUAGUGACAAUAAAUACUGAUACAGGGCUCUUUUGGGUCUUGUAAUUGGAAUGAGUACAAUUUAAACCCCUUAACGAGGAACAAUUGGAGGGCAAGUCUGGUGCCAGCAGCCGCGGUAAUUCCAGCUCCAAUAGCGUAUAUUAAAGUUGUUGCAGUUAAAAAGCUCGUAGUUGAACCUUGGGCCUGGCUGGCCGGUCCGCCUCACCGCGUGCACUGGUCCGGCCGGGCCUUUCCUUCUGGAGAGCCCCAUGCCCUUCACUGGGUGUGCGGGGGAACCAGGACUUUUACUUUGAAAAAAUUAGAGUGUUCAAAGCAGGCCUUUGCUCGAAUACAUUAGCAUGGAAUAAUAAAAUAGGACGUGCGGUCCUAUUUUGUUGGUUUCUAGGACCGCCGUAAUGAUUAAUAGGGAUAGUCGGGGGCAUCCGUAUUCAAUUGUCAGAGGUGAAAUUCUUGGAUUUAUUGAAGACGAACUACUGCGAAAGCAUUUGCCAAGGAUGUUUUCAUUAAUCAGUGAACGAAAGUUAGGGGAUCGAAGACGAUCAGAUACCGUCGUAGUCUUAACCGUAAACUAUGCCGACUAGGGAUCGGGCGAUGUUACUAUUUUGACUCGCUCGGCACCUUACGAGAAAUCAAAGUUUUUGGGUUCUGGGGG
RNAcentral lists this ribosomal RNA (1050 nucleotides) under Fissuroma arengae. RNAcentral describes it as "SSU rRNA". It matches the Rfam family "Eukaryotic small subunit ribosomal RNA", at positions 60 to 1120 of the family's 1831-position model. Lineage: Eukaryota; Fungi; Ascomycota; Dothideomycetes; Pleosporales; Aigialaceae. The record is from RNAcentral.